Molecule: ribosomal RNA, 440 nt
Filed under: uncultured bacterium
Lineage: Bacteria
Description: partial 16S ribosomal RNA
Rfam family: Bacterial small subunit ribosomal RNA
Source: RNAcentral
CCUACGGGAGGCAGCAGUGGGGAAUAUUGGACAAUGGGCGAAACCCUGAUCCAGCGACGCCGCGUGAGCGAAGAAGUCUUUCGGUACGUAAAGCUCUAUCAGCAGGGAAGAAAAUGACGGUACCUGACUAAGAAGCCCCGGCUAACUACGUGCCAGCAGCCGCGGUAAUACGUAGGGGGCAAGCGUUAUCCGGAUUUACUGGGGGUAAAGGGUGCGUAGAGGGCUGCGCAAGUCUGGAGUGAAAGGCCGGGGCCCAACCCGUGGACUGCUCUGGAAACUGUGAAGCUUGAGUGCAGGGGAGGGAAGCGGAAUUCCUGGUGGAGCGGUGAAAUGCGUAGAUAUUAGGAGGAACACCGGUGGCGAAGGCGGCUCUCUGGACUGUAACUGACGCUGAGGCUCGAAGGCGUGGGGAGCAAACAGGAUUAGAUACCCCGGUAGUC